This 254-nucleotide ribosomal RNA is filed under the name uncultured bacterium. RNAcentral's name for it is "partial 16S ribosomal RNA". It matches the Rfam family "Bacterial small subunit ribosomal RNA", at positions 524 to 776 of the family's 1533-position model. The record is from RNAcentral.
UACGUAGGGGGCAAGCGUUGUCCGGAUUUAUUGGGCGUAAAGAGCUCGUAGGUGGUUCGGUAAGUCGGAUGUGAAAUCUCCAGGCUCAACCUGGAGGGGUCAUUCGAUACUGCCGUGACUAGAGGUCGGUAGGGGAGUGUGGAAUUCCUGGUGGAGCGGUGAAAUGCGCAGAUAUCAUGAGGAAGACCAGUGGCGAAGGCGGGUCUCUGGACAGUUCCUGACACUGAGGCACGAAGGCCAGGGGAGCAAACGGG